RNAcentral lists this non-coding RNA (29 nucleotides) under Rattus norvegicus (Norway rat). Lineage: Eukaryota; Metazoa; Chordata; Mammalia; Rodentia; Muridae. The record is from RNAcentral.
UAUCAGUGUGAAGUUGAAACUGAGCGUGA